AUGAACGCUGGCGGCGUGCCUAAUACAUGCAAGUCGAGCGAACAGACGAGGAGCUUGCUCCUCUGACGUUAGCGGCGGACGGGUGAGUAACACGUGGAUAACCUACCUAUAAGACUGGGAUAACUUCGGGAAACCGGAGCUAAUACCGGAUAAUAUAUUGAACCGCAUGGUUCAAUAGUGAAAGACGGUUUUGCUGUCACUUAUAGAUGGAUCCGCGCCGCAUUAGCUAGUUGGUAAGGUAACGGCUUACCAAGGCAACGAUGCGUAGCCGACCUGAGAGGACGAUGAGCGACACUGGGAGUGAGACACGGCACAGACGCCUACGGGAGGCAGCAGUGGGGAAUGUUGGAGAAAGGGCGAAAGCCUGAUCAAGCAAUGGCGCGUGAGUGAAAAAGGCGGUCGGGUUGUAAAGCACUGUUGUCAGGAAAGAAAUGGCUAUAGUUAAUACCUGGGGUGGAUGACGGGACCGGAAGAAUAAGAACCGGCUAACUACGUG
This 496-nucleotide ribosomal RNA is filed under the name uncultured bacterium. RNAcentral's name for it is "partial 16S ribosomal RNA". It matches the Rfam family "Bacterial small subunit ribosomal RNA", at positions 30 to 507 of the family's 1533-position model. The record is from RNAcentral.